CAAUUCAUCCCAUGAACAACUUUCUGGAAAUAGCUAGAGGGGCAGAGAGGAAUCAGGCUGCAUUCUUUUUUAAGUGAGUGCCAACUAUUCAGAUUAAAGAGUAUGGAACUCUCUCUUUCUAGUACAAUGACAUAGAGGAAAGAAGGUCUGGGUACACAGCUGCCCUCUUAGGCAAGUGCUGGGGAGUUUGUUUCCACAUUAUCUCUUAACCCUUCUCAGUUUUGUUCCCAGGGGAAGAGGACCAAGUUAGCUGAUAAAUGAGACAGAAAAAUUUCAUUGACCGGGCUGGGCAUUCAGGAUGUAGGGUUUUUGCUUUGUAACUCUAGUUUCCAUCACUCUUGGUCUUCCCAGAAGUUGCUUGAUUUCAGACAGAGUAUUUUCUUGUUGCUGAGAAAAGAAACUGAAAUCUUGCUCUGCCCCCAAUAGGAAUAAACAUUAUAGUCUGCAGUCAGAAACAAAGCACAUUGCACCUGGAAAGAACAAAAAUCAAAAUGAGUUAAUGUUUUACUUGUCUUUUCAUAUGGCCUACUUCUCCCUUGCAGUAAAUGCCUCAAGUUGCAAAUUUCCAGGUUCUACAUUCACGAUUCAGGGUGGGCAGGGUAAUAAAAGUCUCUGCACAGUUAGAGACUCUGCAAGGCUA
This 640-nucleotide long non-coding RNA is filed under the name Homo sapiens (human). Its description in RNAcentral is "non-protein coding lnc-FBXO4-1:1". Lineage: Eukaryota; Metazoa; Chordata; Mammalia; Primates; Hominidae. The record is from RNAcentral.